Molecule: ribosomal RNA, 254 nt
Filed under: uncultured bacterium
Lineage: Bacteria
Description: partial 16S ribosomal RNA
Rfam family: Bacterial small subunit ribosomal RNA
Source: RNAcentral
UACGGGGGGGGCAAGCGUUGUCCGGAUUUAUUGGGCGUAAAGAGCUCGUAGGUGGUUCGGUAAGUCGGAUGUGAAAUCUCCAGGCUCAACCUGGAGGGGUCAUUCGAUACUGCCGUGACUAGAGUUCGGUAGGGGAGUGUGGAAUUCCUGGUGUAGCGGUGAAAUGCGCAGAUAUCAGGAAGAACACCAAUGGCGAAGGCAGCUCUCUGGGACGGUACUGACGCUGAGACGCGAAAGCGUGGGGAGCGAACAGG